CGUUUAUACCGGACACUAUUUCUGUCUUCGUGCCUUGGCAUUAAAGCAUGGCCUGGGUUUGCCAACUUACCUUCUUGACAGAGAAAGAGCAUGGGAUCUGGAGGCUUUAUCAAGGAUGGAACAAGAUGAAGUGUUCUAUACUGCUCGAAAGGCCGGGUCUUUGAGUGCUGGUGACUUAAUUGGUCUUCAGCGCGCUAAGGCCGUCCUCUCCUGAAGGAAGAAAUGAGGGGUAAUAUAACAUCUGAACCCCUCACCAAAAAAGACAGGAAAAUACCACCUCUCCUGCUAAAUAACUAGAAAAGUUUGUAUUUUCAAAAGAAGAAAUACCUCAAUUCAAGUUAACUCAAGGACAACUAAGAUUGCACUUUAUAGUAAAGAAUGGGACCUUGUCAGGGCAACAACACA
Long non-coding RNA from Cebus imitator (Panamanian white-faced capuchin), 405 nucleotides. RefSeq lists it as uncharacterized. Lineage: Eukaryota; Metazoa; Chordata; Mammalia; Primates; Cebidae. The record is from RefSeq and is a predicted model, not a curated record. The transcript is spliced from 2 exons.